GCAAACUUGGUCAUUUAGAGGAAGUAAAAGUCGUAACAAGGUUUCCGUAGGUGAACCUGCGGAAGGAUCAUUAACGAGUUGGAACGUGGAGGUUGAUGCUGGUGCAUAUCUUUUUUGUAUGUACAUGUGCUCGCCUCUGCCCUCUUCAUCCACUCAACCCCUGUGCACUUUAUCAGAGUUAGUAGUAGUUGUCAUUGUGGUGACCAUUUGUUAUAUUCAUUGUUAAUGAUAAUAACCUUGGUUCUACUACUGCUGCUAUGAACACUUUGACUUUAUUCAUACAAACACUUUGCUUGUCCUUGUGAAUGUGUAAUGCUCCUGGUGAGCGAAAUACAAAUAUACAACUUUCAACAACGGAUCUCUUGGCUCUCGCAUCGAUGAAGAACGCAGC
This 391-nucleotide unclassified non-coding RNA is filed under the name uncultured fungus. RNAcentral's name for it is "partial contains small subunit ribosomal RNA, internal transcribed spacer 1, and 5.8S ribosomal RNA". The stretch from base 1 to 73 matches the Rfam family "Eukaryotic small subunit ribosomal RNA", at positions 1759 to 1831 of the family's 1831-position model. Lineage: Eukaryota; Fungi. The record is from RNAcentral.